RNAcentral lists this ribosomal RNA (253 nucleotides) under uncultured bacterium. Its description in RNAcentral is "partial 16S ribosomal RNA". It matches the Rfam family "Bacterial small subunit ribosomal RNA", at positions 524 to 776 of the family's 1533-position model. The record is from RNAcentral.
UACGAAGGUCCCGAACGUUGCGCGAAUUUACUGGGCGUAAAGGGUCCGUAGGCGGUUUAGCAAGUGGUUGGUGAAAUUUCACGGCUCAACCGUGAAACUGCCUUCCAAACUGCUAAACUUGAGGCAGGGAGAGGUCGGCGGAAUUCCCGGUGGAGCGGUGAAAUGCGUAGAUAUCGGGAGGAACACCAGUGGCGAAGGCGGCCGACUGGAACUGUCCUGACGCUGAGGGACGAAAGGUAGGGGAGCAAACCGG